Molecule: transfer-messenger RNA, 384 nt
Filed under: Candidatus Berkelbacteria bacterium CG1_02_42_45
Lineage: Bacteria; Candidatus Berkelbacteria
Also listed under: 2 other names
Rfam family: transfer-messenger RNA
About the family: Bacterial tmRNA, also known as 10Sa RNA or SsrA, is named for its dual tRNA and mRNA-like properties. Its role is to liberate the mRNA from a stalled ribosome.
Source: RNAcentral
GGGGCUGUAUUAGCUUCGACAGAAGGAUUCGAGAAGCUAUAUUGCAAGCAGGUACGCAAGACCUUAACAUUGCAAACAUUUAAGUGCAAAAACACUUAGCGAAAAAGCCAGAACUGCAUUUGCAGGACUAGCCUUUUCACCAGUCGCCAUCUAAAUUUUGGCGACCGUCCGCUCCUGAUCUGCUCGAAUUAGGAGGUCGGAUGUCAUACUUCGGGCUGCACUUUAGCUGACUCCUUAGCGACUGAAGCUAAGAUUUACUAAGGAUAAACUUGCGGAGUUUUGCAGCGGCUCUAUUUGCAAGUCGAAAUCCUAGCCGCUGAUAAGCUUGUAGAAAAUAUCGCGUCUCCCUUUUGGACAGGGGUGCAAUUCCCCUCAGCUCCACCA